RNAcentral lists this microRNA precursor (106 nucleotides) under Loxodonta africana (African savanna elephant). RNAcentral describes it as "mir-544 microRNA precursor family". It matches the Rfam family "mir-544 microRNA precursor family". The record is from Rfam by way of RNAcentral. Lineage: Eukaryota; Metazoa; Chordata; Mammalia; Proboscidea; Elephantidae.
AUCACCUAGGAUCUUGUUAAAAUGCAGAUUCUGAUUCAGGAGGUCAGUACUAGGGUAUAGUAGACCCGACAGUCUGCGUUUCUAACAAGCUCCCAAGUGAUGUCAA